CCGCCCUCCCUUCUCGCUCCGGUGCUGUGAAACCCUCACGGGGGAGUUCUCCCCAGUCCUGCCCUGCGCUUCCCCAGCUCCUCGGUCCGGGUUCCCCUUGACCUUCACUUCGUCCGCCCUCCUAGCUUUCCCCCAGCCUCCCACCUCUCUCACCCCCUUCUCUCCCCCAGCCUGUCACGGGGGUAGCAGAAGCUGCAUUUAUAAUCAGGAGCCACAGCUUGUCUCCCUCCCACGGCCCGGCUCGCGGCCAGGCUGGGACACAGCCUCCCCGCCCCCCAGAGGGCCUGGUCACCCCCGCCCACAUCUCCCGUGUCCUUCCUCUCUCCGCUGGGCCCUUUCCAUAGCUUCAGCUCUGCUCCCUGGGCACAUAGCAGGAAGCCCUACACCAGCCCCGUGGCCCGCCGAGUUCCUUGGCCCCCACCCUGUUCAUCACCCCAGCGGAUUCCGGCCCUUCCUCAGGCCCCUCAGGCGAGUGGCCAUGGGCUCUCAGUGUGUCCCCACCUCUGCCAUCCCUGUCCCAUACCCACUGUCCUCUCUGCUCCUCACCGCAGUCCCUGCUCCCUUGGUUCCACCUCCUAGUUCAUCCUGCAGACUCCAGGUCCUCGACCUGGGCCGCUGGCCACUAGUGCAUCGCUCAACUGCUUUCCAGUCCCAGAACUUGGAUUCCCCAGGGCGCCUCCUGCAGCGCCCCCUGUGUCCUCUCAUGGGUGCUCCACUCUACCUUAUGGGGUGGCAGGGUGCCACCCCCCACCUGUACCCCAGGACCCUCACACCCUGGGCUGCCCUGACCCCUGCUCCAGCCCUGCCUCACAGCACCAGCUCCAAGUCACCCAGAACCUGUCACCCUCUGGCUGUCCUCAAGCUCCUCCUCCCGUUUCCGGCUGGAAUCACACCUGUGGGGCUCCACCCUCCCUGUAGGUCCUCUCCCCUCUGAUGGAUCCUCUGUUGCUGACCCAGACCCCAGAUUGGAGUGCACAUCCUCUGGCCCUCCAGUCUCCCUGCAUGGCCACCACCUCCUGUGUGACUCUUUCAUCUCCUUCACUCUGGCUGGCUGUCCCUGCCCGCCUCCUCCAGAUGUCCAGCAAGUCCCAGCAGAAGGCCUUGCAGUCUACACUGAGUGCAAGUAACCUGCCAGUGUUUGCUGCCAUCCUUGCCAAGACCUGCACCCUCUGCCGUGUCUCCCAGUGCCCUCUGACUCCUGCCCUCACCCCAAACCUCACUAUCCCCUGCCUGUUCUCCAGAGCUCUGUUUCCUUUUCCUGCACUGUGCCGGGUGAUGGAGAUAGGACUGAGAGCAGGAGCAGGGCCAGAAGGGGAGGAGGAAGGAAGGCCCUCACUCCCUCACCCAAGCCCUUCAGAUUCCCCAUCCCCUCAAUUUUUUUUUUUUUUUUUUUUUUUUUUUUUUUUUUUUUUUGAGACAGGGUCUCACUGUGUAGUUGAGACUGACCUGGAACUCACUAUGCAGCCCAGGCUGGUCUCAAACUCAAAGCAAUCCUCCUGCCUCAGCCUCCCGAGUGCUAGGAUUACAGGCGUGCCCCACCACACCCAGCUCCCCUCGCCCUUUCUAGCUCAUACCACACUGGAAGAGAUGACAUCUUCACCCCCAAAUCUUCAGAGCCACAUCUCCCCAAUAUGGCCCUCAAUGACCUCAUGGCCAAGGGAGCGUGACCAUCAAACGUCGAAAUACAGAACCCCUAAGACGACAGGAAAGGGAACUCAGUCCUGAGAGAGAUCCCAGACCUGAUACUGAAGACCCUCAGAUGUGUCAAAGACAAACUGCAGAUCCAGACACCUCAGGGAGACCCUUCCAACUCAAGCAGG
Molecule: long non-coding RNA, 1820 nt
Organism: Fukomys damarensis (Damara mole-rat)
Lineage: Eukaryota; Metazoa; Chordata; Mammalia; Rodentia; Bathyergidae
Source: Ensembl